RNAcentral lists this ribosomal RNA (433 nucleotides) under uncultured bacterium. RNAcentral's name for it is "partial 16S ribosomal RNA". It matches the Rfam family "Bacterial small subunit ribosomal RNA", at positions 29 to 507 of the family's 1533-position model. The record is from RNAcentral.
AACGAACGCUGGCGGCAUGCCUAACACAUGCAAGUCGAACGAGACCUUCGGGUCUAGUGGCGCACGUGUGCGUAACGCGUGGGAACCUGCCCUUAGGUUCUGAAUAACUCCCCGAAAGGGGUUCUAAUACCGGAUAAUGUCUUCGGACCAAAGAUUUAUCGCCUUUGGAUGGGCCCGCGUUGGAUUAGCUAGUUGGUAGGGUAAAAGCCUACCAAGGCGACGAUCCAUAGCUGGUCUGAGAGGAUGAUCAGCCACACUGGGACUGAGACACGGCCCAGACUCCUACGGGAGGCAGCAGUGGGGACUAUUGGACAAUGGGAGACAGCCUGAUCCAGCAAUGCCGCGUGAGUGAUGAAGGCCUUAGGGUUGUAAAGCUCUUUUACCCGGGAUGAUAAUGACAGUACCGGGAGAAUAAGCUCCGGCUAACUCCGUG